UACGUAGGGGGCUAGCGUUGUCCGGAAUCAUUGGGCGUAAAGCGCGUGUAGGCGGCCCGGUAAGUCCGCUGUGAAAGUCGGGGGCUCAACCCUCGGAUGCCGGUGGAUACUGUCGGGCUCGAGUACGGAAGAGGCGAGUGGAAUUCCUGGUGUAGCGGUGAAAUGCGCAGAUAUCAGGAAGAACACCAGUGGCGAAGGCGGCUUUCUGGGACGGUACUGACGCUGAGACGCGAAAGCGUGGGGAGCGAACAGG
Molecule: ribosomal RNA, 253 nt
Filed under: uncultured bacterium
Lineage: Bacteria
Description: partial 16S ribosomal RNA
Rfam family: Bacterial small subunit ribosomal RNA
Source: RNAcentral